GCGAGCGUGGAAUAGGCAUACGCGGCAGGUUGCCAACCUGCCACCUCACGGGCACCCCAUCCGGCUCCUGCCGGUCUUCGGUCCCCGGUUCGAGUUCGAGGGUUCGAGCCCCUCUGCCCGCACCA
This 125-nucleotide transfer RNA is filed under the name Chloroflexota bacterium. Its description in RNAcentral is "Chloroflexi bacterium tRNA-OTHER". The record is from RNAcentral. Lineage: Bacteria; Bacillati; Chloroflexota.